This 520-nucleotide ribosomal RNA is filed under the name uncultured bacterium. Its description in RNAcentral is "bacterial SSU rRNA". It matches the Rfam family "Archaeal small subunit ribosomal RNA", at positions 345 to 866 of the family's 1478-position model. The record is from RNAcentral.
AACCUCCGCAAUGUGAGAAAUCGCGACGGGGGGAUCCCAAGUGCCAUUCUUAACGGGAUGGCUUUUCAUUAGUGUAAAGAGCUUUUGGAAUAAGAGCUGGGCAAGACCGGUGCCAGCCGCCGCGGUAACACCGGCAGCUCUAGUGGUAACAAUUUUUAUUGGGCCUAAAGCGUCCGUAGCCGGUUUAAUAAGUCUCUGGUGAAAUCCUGCAGCUUAACUGUGGGAAUUGCUGGAGAUACUAUUAGACUUGAGACCGGGAGAGGUUAGAGGUACUCCCAGGGUAGAGGUGAAAUUCUGUAAUCCUGGGAGGACCGCCUGUUGCGAAGGCGUCUAACUGGAACGGUUCUGACGGUGGGGGACGAAAGUUAGGGGCGCGAACCGGAUUAGAUACCCGGGUAGUCCUAACUGUAAACGAUGCGGACUUGGUGUUGGGGUGGCUUUGAGCUGCUUCAGUGCCGAAGGGAAGCUGUUAAGUCCGCCGCCUGGGAGUACGGUCGCAAGACUGAAACUUAAAGGAAAU